Molecule: microRNA precursor, 98 nt
Filed under: Otolemur garnettii (small-eared galago)
Lineage: Eukaryota; Metazoa; Chordata; Mammalia; Primates; Galagidae
Description: mir-544 microRNA precursor family
Rfam family: mir-544 microRNA precursor family
Source: Rfam by way of RNAcentral
AUCACCCAGGAAACUUGUUGAAAUGCAGAUUCUGAUUCAGUUAGGUCUGCAUGGGACCUGAGAUUCUGCAUUUACAACAAACUCCAGAGUGAUGAUAA